UGACUACUUUUUUGUUUUGUC
This 21-nucleotide non-coding RNA is filed under the name Caenorhabditis elegans. Lineage: Eukaryota; Metazoa; Nematoda; Chromadorea; Rhabditida; Rhabditidae. The record is from RNAcentral.